ACAGCUGUCCCUGUUCUUGGGUGCAUCACGCCGCACCAGUUUGGAGCUGGCCGAGCAGCUGGGCGUACUGGCCAGCUGUGACCCGCCGAGGCGGUCUGCUGGCCAUCCCGUCUCUCAUGGGCCAGAGUGGAUGAAAAAGGCAAACGGUGCGGAAAAUUGCCACGUCUUUCCCCUGGAAAUGUUGGAAGUUGCCCAUGAGACAGAGCCCUCAGGGAUCAGCCCAGGAGCACCUCUGGGAAGACCUGGUGUGGAGGACAACCAGCACUGCUGCAGAGGCCUUGAAUCCUUCUGGAGCUCUUUGAAAACCAGCCAGCAGAAGAUUAUUAGCUGA
This 331-nucleotide long non-coding RNA is filed under the name Calidris pygmaea (Spoon-billed sandpiper). Its description in RNAcentral is "lncRNA (ENSCPGG00000006672.1)". Lineage: Eukaryota; Metazoa; Chordata; Aves; Charadriiformes; Scolopacidae. The record is from RNAcentral.